GACGAACGCUGGCGGCGUGCUUAACACAUGCAAGUCGAACGAUGAAGUUCCUUCGGGAAUGGAUUAGCGGCGAACGGGUGAGGAACACGUGAGAAACCUGCCUUUCAUUUUGGGAUAACCCCGGGAAACCGGGGCUAAAACCGAAUACUCCGUCUCGGCGGCAUCGCUGAGCCGGGAAAAAAUUUUGAUGAAAGAUGGUCUCGCGGCCUAUCAGCUAGUUGGUGAGGUAAUGGCUCACCAAGGCAACGACGGGUAGCCGGCCUGAGAGGGCGACCGGCCACACUGGGACUGAGACACGGCCCAGACUCCUACGGGAGGCAGCAGUGGGGAAUAUUGGGCAAUGGGCGCAAGCCUGACCCAGCGACGCCGCGUGAGGGAUGAAGGCCUUCGGGUUGUAAACCUCUUUCAGUAGGGAAGAAGCGAAAGUAACGGUACCUAAAGAAGAAGCACCGGCUAACUAUGUGCCAGCCGCCGCGGUAA
This 480-nucleotide ribosomal RNA is filed under the name uncultured bacterium. Its description in RNAcentral is "partial 16S ribosomal RNA". It matches the Rfam family "Bacterial small subunit ribosomal RNA", at positions 28 to 523 of the family's 1533-position model. The record is from RNAcentral.